RNAcentral lists this small RNA (30 nucleotides) under Bombyx mori (domestic silkworm). Its description in RNAcentral is "ovarian small RNA-34846". The record is from RNAcentral. Lineage: Eukaryota; Metazoa; Arthropoda; Insecta; Lepidoptera; Bombycidae.
UGGCCUGGAUGCACCGGGCAUAACGGGCAG